Molecule: long non-coding RNA, 422 nt
Filed under: Triticum aestivum (bread wheat)
Lineage: Eukaryota; Viridiplantae; Streptophyta; Magnoliopsida; Poales; Poaceae
Description: long non-coding RNA (TAES_LNC026781)
Source: RNAcentral
AUGGAUGAUAGAUCAGCGCCUCUUCUUGCCAGACUUUGAGCCAGCAGAUUUCGAUGGGCUCGCGACCAGGUAGAUGAACCCCAGAACGAAGGAAACGACAGACACCAGUGCUCCGUACUUCGCAACAAGUUUCUGCACAUGGACAGUUUCUUAGAAUCUCACACCAGGGAAUAUCAUGGCAGCUUAUUUAUAUGGAGGAGAAAUGAAAUGAAAUUACCUUAGCCUGAACAACAAAUGACAGUGAAUCCAGAUUUCCAGAAGCAAGAGUAUCAGCCCCACAAAAUAGCAUGGAAAAAAUUAGAAUCACCAAGGAGAUAUACCAGAAUGAAAAUGCACACGAUCACUUACCCAUUCAAACUUCUUCACUGGAGGUCUUUCAGCAAGAAUGUCCAGGGGGGGGAUGGGAGUUGAGUAGGCCUCCU